RNAcentral lists this ribosomal RNA (2914 nucleotides) under Stenotrophomonas maltophilia. Its description in RNAcentral is "partial 23S ribosomal RNA". It matches the Rfam family "Bacterial large subunit ribosomal RNA". The record is from RNAcentral. Lineage: Bacteria; Pseudomonadati; Pseudomonadota; Gammaproteobacteria; Lysobacterales; Lysobacteraceae.
AUAUGGUCAAGCGAAUAAGCGCACACGGUGGAUGCCUUGGCGGUCAGAGGCGAUGAAGGACGUGGCAGCCUGCGAAAAGUAUCGGGGAGCUGGCAACAAGCUUUGAUCCGGUAAUGUCCGAAUGGGGAAACCCACCCGCUUGCGGGUAUCCUGCAGUGAAUACAUAGCUGCUGGAAGCGAACCUGGUGAACUGAAAUAUCUAAGUAACCAGAGGAAAAGAAAUCAACCGAGAUUCCGUAAGUAGCGACGAGCGAACGCGGACUAGCCCUUAAGCUGAUUUGGUUCUAGGAAAACGCUCUGGAAAGAGCGGCCAUAGAAGGUGAUAGCCCUGUAUCUGAAAGGGCCAUUUCAGUGAAGACGAGUAGGGCGGGGCACGUGAAACCCUGUCUGAACAUGGGGGGACCAUCCUCCAAGGCUAAAUACUACUGACCGACCGAUAGUGAACCAGUACCGUGAGGGAAAGGCGAAAAGAACCCCGGAGAGGGGAGUGAAAUAGAACCUGAAACCGUGUGCGUACAAGCAGUAGGAGCUCCGCAAGGAGUGACUGCGUACCUUUUGUAUAAUGGGUCAGCGACUUACUGUUCGUGGCAAGCUUAACCGUAUAGGGGAGGCGAAGGGAAACCGAGUCUGAUAAGGGCGCAUAGUCGCGGGCAGUAGACCCGAAACCGGGUGAUCUAGUCAUGCCCAGGGUGAAGGUGCGGUAACACGCACUGGAGGCCCGAACCCACUCCCGUUGCAAAGGUAGGGGAUGAGGUGUGAUUAGGAGUGAAAAGCUAAUCGAACCCGGAGAUAGCUGGUUCUCCUCGAAAGCUAUUUAGGUAGCGCCUCAUAUGUAUCCUCUCGGGGGUAGAGCACUGUUAUGGCUAGGGGGUCAUCGCGACUUACCAAACCAUUGCAAACUCCGAAUACCGAGACGGACUGUAUGGGAGACACACGGCGGGUGCUAACGUCCGUCGUGAAAAGGGAAACAACCCAGACCCACAGCUAAGGUCCCAAAUUUUGUGCUAAGUGGAAAACCAUGUGGAAAGGCACAGACAGCCAGGAGGUUGGCUUAGAAGCAGCCACCCUUUAAAGAAAGCGUAAUAGCUCACUGGUCGAGUCGGUCUGCGGGGAAGAUUUAACGGGGCUAAGCACAGAACCGAAGCUUGGGGUGCAUAACUUUGUUAUGCGCGGUAGAGGAGCGUUCCGUAAGCCGUUGAAGGUGGAUUGAGAAGUCUGCUGGAGGUAUCGGAAGUGCGAAUGCUGACAUGAGUAACGAUAAUGCGGGUGAAAAACCCGCACGCCGAAAGCCCAAGGUUUCCUUGCGCAACGUUAAUCGGCGCAGGGUGAGUCGGCCCCUAAGGCGAGGACGAAAGUCGUAGUCGAUGGGAAGCAGGUUAAUAUUCCUGCACCUCGCGUAAGUGCGAUGGAGGGACGGAGAAGGUUAGGUGUACCAGGCGUUGGUUGUCCUGGGGAAAGGCGGUAGGUUUGGAUCUUUGGCAAAUCCGGGAUCCUUUAAGACCGAGCACCGAGACGAGCCUUUAAGGCGAAGUCACUGAUACCACGCUUCCAGGAAAAGCUCCUAAGCUUCAGCUUACGCAGACCGUACCGUAAACCGACACAGGUGGGUAGGAUGAGAAUUCUCAGGCGCUUGAGAGAACUCGGGUGAAGGAACUAGGCAACAUGGCACCGUAACUUCGGGAGAAGGUGCACCCUUUUUGGUGGCUCGUGCGAGCUAUAGCUGAAGAGGGUCGCAGUAACCAGGCCGCUGCGACUGUUUAUCAAAAACACAGCACUCUGCAAACACGAAAGUGGACGUAUAGGGUGUGACGCCUGCCCGGUGCUGGAAGGUUAAUUGAUGGGGUCAGCCGCAAGGCGAAGCUCUUGAUCGAAGCCCCAGUAAACGGCGGCCGUAACUAUAACGGUCCUAAGGUAGCGAAAUUCCUUGUCGGGUAAGUUCCGACCUGCACGAAUGGCGUAACGACAGCGGCGCUGUCUCCACCCGAGACUCAGUGAAAUUGAAAUCGCUGUGAAGAUGCAGCGUUCCCGUGGCAAGACGGAAAGACCCCGUGAACCUUUACUAUAGCUUUACACUGAACGUUGAGUUCGUCUGUGUAGGAUAGGUGGGAGGCUAUGAAACUGUGGCGCUAGCUGCAGCGGAGCCAUCCUUGAAAUACCACCCUGUCGUGCUUGACGUUCUAACCUGGGCCCAUUAUCUGGGUCGGGGACCGUGUAUGGUGGGUAGUUUGACUGGGGCGGUCUCCUCCUAAAGAGUAACGGAGGAGCUCGAAGGUACGCUCAGCGCGGUCGGACAUCGCGCACUGUGUGCAAAGGCAUAAGCGUGCUUGACUGCAAGAUCGACGGAUCAAGCAGGUAGGAAACUAGGACUUAGUGAUCCGGUGGUUCUGUAUGGAAGGGCCAUCGCUCAACGGAUAAAAGGUACUCCGGGGAUAACAGGCUGAUACCGCCCAAGAGUUCAUAUCGACGGCGGUGUUUGGCACCUCGAUGUCGGCUCAUCACAUCCUGGGGCUGUAGUCGGUCCCAAGGGUAUGGCUGUUCGCCAUUUAAAGUGGUACGCGAGCUGGGUUCAGAACGUCGUGAGACAGUUCGGUCCCUAUCUGCCAUGGGCGUUGGAGAUUUGAGAGGGGCUGCUCCUAGUACGAGAGGACCGGAGUGGACGAACCUCUGGUGUUCCGGUUGUCACGCCAGUGGCAUUGCCGGGUAGCUAUGUUCGGAAGCGAUAACCGCUGAAAGCAUCUAAGCGGGAAGCGCGCCUCAAGAUGAGAUCUCCCGGGGCACAAGCCCCCUGAAGGAACCAUGUAGACUACGUGGUUGAUAGGUCAGGUGUGUAAGUACAGCAAUGUAUUGAGCUAACUGAUACUAAUGAUCCGUGCGGCUUGACCAUAUAACCUCAAGUUGCCUUGGCUUUACGACA